RNAcentral lists this ribosomal RNA (253 nucleotides) under uncultured bacterium. RNAcentral's name for it is "partial 16S ribosomal RNA". It matches the Rfam family "Bacterial small subunit ribosomal RNA", at positions 524 to 776 of the family's 1533-position model. The record is from RNAcentral.
UACGUAGGGGGCAAGCGUUGUCCGGAAUCAUUGGGCGUAAAGAGCGUGUAGGCGGCUCGAUAAGUCCGUUCUGAAAGUCCAGGGCUCAACCCUGGGAUGCGGAUGGAUACUGUCGGGCUCGAGUCCGGAAGAGGCGAGUGGAAUUCCCGGUGUAGCGGUGAAAUGCGCAGAUAUCGGGAGGAACACCAAUGGCGAAGGCAGCUCGCUGGGACGUGACUGACGCUGAGACGCGAAAGCGUGGGGAGCAAACAGG